Molecule: long non-coding RNA, 2042 nt
Filed under: Salmo salar (Atlantic salmon)
Lineage: Eukaryota; Metazoa; Chordata; Actinopteri; Salmoniformes; Salmonidae
Description: lncRNA (ENSSSAG00000086037.1)
Source: RNAcentral
UAACGUCACACUAUAACGUCAUGGGAGUCUUGUGGAAAGACUAACGGUGUUAUUGUAAGAGGUCAUGGGUCAAGGUCCUCACAAUUAUAGGAAGAUGCGCAUGUGUGUGUGUGAGAGUGUGUCCUGUGUGUGUGUAUGUGUCCUGUUUGUGUGUGUGUGUGUGUGUGUGUGUGUGUGUGUGUGUGUGUGUGUGUGUGUGUGUGUGUGUGUGUGUGUGUGUGUGUGUGUGUGUGUCCAGUGUGUGUGUGUGUGUGUGUGUGUGAGUCCAGUGUGUGUGUGUUUGUUUGUCUAGUGUGUGUGUGUGUGUGUGUGUGUUUGUCCAGUGUGUGUGUGUGUGUGUGUGUGUGUGUGUGUGUGUGUGUUUGUCCAUGUGUGUGUGUGUGUGUGUGUGUGUGUUUGUUUUUGUCCAGUGUGUGUGUGUGUGUGUGUGUUUGUCCAGUGUGUGUGUGUGUGUGUGUUUGUCCAGUGUGUGUGUGUGUGUGUGUUUGUCCAGUGUGUGUGUGUGUGUGUGUUUGUCCAGUGUUUGUGUGUGUGUGUCCAGUGUGUGUGUGUGUGUGUGUCCAGUGUGUGUGUGUGUGUGUCCAGUGUGUGUGUGUGUGUGUCCAGUGUGUGUGUGUGUGUGUCCAGUGUGUGUGUGUGUGUGUCCAGUGUGUGUGAGUCCAGUGUGUGUGAGUCCAGUGUGUGUGUGUGUGUGAGUCCAGUGUGUGUGUGUGUGUGUGUUUGUCCAGUGUGUGUGUGUGUUUGUCCAGUGUGUGUGUGUGUGUGUGUGUGUGUGUGUUUGUCCAGUUUGUGUGUGUGUUUGUCCAGUGUGUGUGUGUGUGUGUGUGUGUGUUUGUGUGUGUGUUUGUCCAGUGUGUGUGUGUGUGUGUUUGUCCAGUGUGUGUGUGUUUGUCCAGUGUGUGUGUGUGUGUGUGUUUGUCCAGUGUGUGUGUGUGUGUGUGUUUGUCCAGUGUGUGUGUGUGUGUGUGUGUUUGUCCAGUGUGUGUGUGUGUGUGUGUGUGUUUGUCCAGUGUGUGUGUGUGUGUGUGUGUUUGUCCAGUGUGUGUGUGUGUGUGUGUGUUUGUCCAGUGUGUGUGUGUGUGUGUUUGUCCAGUGUGUGUGUGUGUGUGUGUCCAGUGUGUGUGUGUCCAGUGUGUGUGUGUGUGUGUGUCCAGUGUGUGUGUGUGUGUCCAGUGUGUGUGUGUGUGUCCAGUGUGUGUGUGUGUGUGUCCAGUGUGUGUGUGUGUGUGUCCAGUGUGUGUGUGUGUGUGUCCAGUGUGUGUGUGUGUGUGUCCAGUGUGUGUGUGUGUCCAGUGUGUGUGUGUGAGUCCAGUGUGUGUGUGUGUGUGUUUGUCUAGUGUGUGUGUCCAGUGUGUGUGUGUCUGUGUGUAUCCAGUGUUUGUGUGUGUGUGUGUCCAGUGUGUGUGUUUGUCCACUUUGUUUGUCCAGUGUGUGUGUGUGUGUGUGUCCAGUGUGUGUGUGUGUGUGUAUUUUUGUUUGACCAGUGUGUGUGUGUGUGUGUGUGUGUGUGUGUGUGUGUGUGUGUCCAGUGUGUGUGUGUGUAUGUGUGUGAGUGUGUGUGUGUUUUCGUUUGUCCAGUGUGUGUGUGUGUGUGUAAGUGUGUGUGUCCAGUGUGUGUGUGUGUGUGUGUGUGUGUAUGUUUUUGUCCAGUGUGUGUGUGUGUGUGUGUGUGUUUGUGUGUCCAGUGUGCGUGUGUCCAGAAUGUGUUUGUGUGUGUUUGUUCAGUGUGUGUGUUGAGAGUGUGUGUGUCUAUUUUGUGUCCAGUGUGUGUGUGUGUGUGUGUGUUUUGUGUGUGUUCAGUGUGUGUCCAUUUUGUGUCCAGUUUGUGUGUGUUCAGUGUGUGUUCAGUGUGUGUUCAGUGUGUGUGUGUGUGUGUGUGUGUGUGUGUGUCCAGUGUGUGUGUGUGUGUGUGCCCAGUUUGUGUGUCCAGUGUGUGUGUGUUUGUGUGUGUGUGUUUGUGUGUGUGUCCAGUGUGUGUGUGUUUGUGUGUGUGUUUGUGUGUGUGUGUGUGUGUGUGUGUGUGUGUGUGUGUGUUUGUCCAG